GGUCAAAAGAAUAAGUGCAUACGAAGGAUGCCUUGGCAGUUAGAGGCGAUGAAGGACGUGGCAGUCUGCGAAAAGCUUCGGGGAGUCGACAACAGGCUUUGAUCCGGAGAUGUCCGAAUGGGGAAACCCACCUCAUUGGAGGUAUUUACAUCUGAAUACAUAGGGUGUAAAAGCGAACCUGGAGAACUGAAACAUCUAAGUAACCAGAGGAAAAUAAAUCAACCGAUAUUCCCUAAGUAGUGGCGAGCGAACGGGGAACAGCCCAAAAGUUAUCAUUUAGUCAGCAGAAUCAUCUGGAAAGAUGAGCCAUAGUAGGUGAUAGCCCUGUAGGCGUCAGCUGAGUGAUAAUGAAAGUGAGUAGAACGGGACACGUGAAAUCCUGUUUGAACAUGGGGGGACCAUCCUCCAAGGCUAAAUACUACUAACUGACCGAUAGUGAACGAGUACCGUGAGGGAAAGGUGAAAAGAACCCUUGUUAAGGGAGUGAAAUAGAACCUGAAUUCGUAUGUAUACAAGCAGUGGAAGCUUUCUAAGGAGAGCGACUGCGUACCUUUUGUAUAAUGGGUCAGCGAGUUACUCUUACUGGCAAGCUUAACCGUACAAGGGGAGGCGAAGGGAAACCGAGUCUUAAAAGGCGUUAAGUCGGUGGGAGUAGACCCGAAACCAGACGAGCUAACCAUGGCCAGGAUGAAGGCAGGGUAACACCUGUUGGAGGUCCGAACUCACUACUGUUGAAAAAGUAGGAGAUGAGCUGUGGUUAGGAGUGAAAAGCUAAUCGAGUCUGGAGAUAGCUGGUUCUCCCCGAAAUCUAUUUAGGUAGAGCCUCAUGUAUUUCUUACGGGGGUAAAGCACUGUUAUGGCUAGGGGGACGUAAGGUCUUACCAAACCAUUGCAAACUCUGAAUACCGUAAAGAACAGCAUGGGAGACACACUAUGGGUGCUAAGAUCAAUAGUGGAGAGGGAUACAGCCCUGACCGUCAGCUAAGGUCCCAAAAUUAUAGUUAAGUGGGAAACGAUGUGGGAAAAUUUAGACAUCCAGGAUGUUGGCUUAGAAGCAGCCAUCAUUUAAAGAAAGCGUAAUAGCUCACUGGCCGAGUAGUCCUGCGCGGAAGAUUCAACGGGGCUCAAACUAUAUACCGAAGCUGCGGGUUUAAUCGCAAGAUUGAGCUGUAGGGGAGCGUUCUGUAAGCCUGCGAAGGUGGAUCGUGAGGUCUGCUGGAGGUAUCAGAAGUGCGAAUGCUGACAUAAGUAACGAUAAAUGGGGUGAAAAACCCCAUCGCCGAAAACCCAAGGUUUCCUGCUCAACGUUAAUCGGAGCAGGGUUAGUCGGGACCUAAGAAGAGGCCGAGAGGCGUAUUCGAUGGAAAGCAGGUUAAUAUUCCUGCACCUUAUGUAACUGCGAUGGAGUGACGGAGAAGGUUAGGUUAGCCAGAGAUUGGUAGUUCUGGUUUAAGCUGUUAGUCAGGUUUCCAUGGAAAAUCCGGGAAACUAUUGAUGAGAAGUGAUGACGGGUCUCCGCGAGGAGAUGAAGUAACUGAUACCACGCUUCCGAGAAAAGCUUCUAAGCUUCAGGUUACAUAAGCUCGUACCGCAAACCGACACAGGUGGGUAGGUAGAAUAUACUAAGGCGCUUGAGAGAACUCAGUUGAAGGAACUAGGCAAAUUGACACCGUAACUUCGGAAGAAGGUGUGCCAUCACUAUGUUGCUCGGAGAAACACCGGGUUGCAGAAGAUGGUCUCAGAAAAUCGGUGGCUGCGACUGUUUAUUAAAAACACAGCACUCUGCAAACUCCUAAGAGGAAGUAUAGGGUGUGACGCCUGCCCGGUGCCGGAAGGUUAAAUGAUGAGGUUAGCCGCAAGGCGAAGCUUUUGAUUGAAGCCCCGGUGAACGGCGGCCGUAACUAUAACGGUCCUAAGGUAGCGAAAUUCCUUGUCGGGUAAGUUCCGACCUGCACGAAUGGCGUAACGAUAGCCACGCUGUCUCCAACUGAGACUCAGUGAAAUUGAAUUUGCUGUGAAGAUGCAGUAUACCCGCGGCUAGACGGAAAGACCCCGUGAACCUUUACUAUAACUUUACACUGAACUUUGAAUUCAUCUGUGUAGCAUAGGUGGGAGGCGUUGAAGCAUUGGCGUUAGCCAGUGUGGAGCCGACAGUGAAAUACCACCCUGAUGCGCUCGGAGUUCUAACCAUGACCCGUUAACCGGGUUUGGGACACUGUAUGGUGGGUAGUUUGACUGGGGCGGUCUCCUCCAAAAGAGUAACGGAGGAGUACAAAGGUACUCUCAGCACGGUCGGAAAUCGUGUGUAGUGUGCAAAGGCAUAAGAGUGCUUAACUGUAAGACAAACAAGUCGAGCAGGUACGAAAGUAGGUCUUAGUGAUCCGGUGGUUCUGUAUGGAAGGGCCAUCGCUCAACGGAUAAAAGGUACUCCGGGGAUAACAGGCUGAUACCGCCCAAGAGUUCAUAUCGACGGCGGUGUUUGGCACCUCGAUGUCGACUCAUCACAUCCUGGGGCUGAAGCAGGUCCCAAGGGUUUGGCUGUUCGCCAAUUAAAGUGGUACGUGAGUUGGGUUUAGAACGUCGUGAGACAGUUCGGUCCCUAUCUACCGUGGGCGCUGGAGACUUGAGGGGAGCUGUUCUUAGUACGAGAGGACCGGAAUGGACGCGCCUCUGGUGUACCGGUUGUCACGCCAGUGGCAUCGCCGGGUAGCUAUGCGCGGAUGGGAUAACCGCUGAAAGCAUAUAAGCGGGAAGCCCACCCCAAGAUGAGGUCUCCCGAGAAUUUAAUUCUCCUAAAGAGCCGUUCAAGACCAGGACGUUGAUAGGCUGGGUGUGGAAGUACAGCAAUGUAUGGAGCUUACCAGUACUAAUGGCUCGUGCGUUUUGACCAU
This 2891-nucleotide ribosomal RNA is filed under the name Methylacidiphilales bacterium. RNAcentral describes it as "Candidatus Methylacidiphilales bacterium 23S ribosomal RNA". It matches the Rfam family "Bacterial large subunit ribosomal RNA". The record is from RNAcentral. Lineage: Bacteria; Pseudomonadati; Verrucomicrobiota; Methylacidiphilae; Methylacidiphilales.